RNAcentral lists this ribosomal RNA (899 nucleotides) under uncultured archaeon. RNAcentral's name for it is "bacterial SSU rRNA". It matches the Rfam family "Archaeal small subunit ribosomal RNA", at positions 18 to 922 of the family's 1478-position model. The record is from RNAcentral.
CGGAGGUUACUGCUAUCGAGGUUCGACUAAGCCAUGCGAGUCGAAUGUAGCAAUACAUGGCGAACUGCUCAGUAACACGUGGACAACCUGCCCUUAGGUUGGGUAUAAACCCGGGAAACUGGGUAUAAUACCCGAUAGGUCUCGAUUGCUGGAAUGCAUCGAGAUUUAAAGCUCCGGCGCCUAAGGAUGGGUCUGCGGCCUAUCAGGUAGUAGUGGGUGUAGCGUACCUACUAGCCUACGACGGGUACGGGUUGUGAGAGCAAGAGCCCGGAGAUGGAUUCUGAGACACGAAUCCAGGCCCUACGGGGUGCAGCAGGCGCGAAAACUUUACAAUGCUGGCAACAGCGAUAAGGGAACCUCGAGUGCCAGGUUACAAAUCUGGCCGUCGAGAUGCCUAAAAAGCAUUUCAUAGCAAGGGCCGGGCAAGACCGGUGCCAGCCGCCGCGGUAACACCGGCGGCUCGAGUGGUAACCGUUAUUAUUGGGUCUAAAGGGUCUGUAGCCGGCCGGAUAAGUCUCUUGAGAAAUCUGGCAGCUUAACUGUCAGGCUUUCAGGAGAUACUGUCUGGCUCGAGGCCAGGAGAGGUGAGAGGUACUUCAGGGGUAGGGGUGAAAUCUUGUAAUCCUUGAAGGACCACCAGUGGCGAAGGCGUCUCACCAGAACGGACCUGACGGCAAGGGACGAAAGCUAGGGGCACGAACCGGAUUAGAUACCCGGGUAGUCCUAGCCGUAAACGAUACUCGCUAGGUGUCGGCCACGGUGCGACCGUUGUCGGUGCCGUAGGGAAGCCGUGAAGCGAGCCACCUGGGAAGUACGGCCGCAAGGCUGAAACUUAAAGGAAUUGGCGGGGGAGCACCACAACGGGUGGAGCUUGCGGUUUAAUUGGAUUCAACGCCGGG